RNAcentral lists this ribosomal RNA (489 nucleotides) under uncultured bacterium. RNAcentral describes it as "partial 16S ribosomal RNA". It matches the Rfam family "Bacterial small subunit ribosomal RNA", at positions 28 to 507 of the family's 1533-position model. The record is from RNAcentral.
GACGAACGCUGGCGGCGUGCUUAACACAUGCAAGUCGAACGGAAAGGCCCCCAUCUUGGUGGGUGUGCUCGAGGGGCGAACGGGUGAGUAACACGUGGGUGAUCUGCUCUGUACUGGGGGAUAAUCUGGGGAAACUGGGUCUAAUACCGGAUAGGACCAUGGUGUAGGGUCGGGGUGGGGAAAGAUCGUUGGUUUGGGGCAGGAUGAGCGCGCGGCCUAUCAGCGUGUUGGUGGGGUAAUGGCCUGCCAAGGCGUCGGCGGGUAGCCGGCCUGAGGGGGUGGCCGGCCACAUUGGGACUGGGCUACGGUCCAGCCUCGUACGGGCGGCAGCAGCGGCGAAUAUUGCACGAUGGGCGCAUGCCUGAUGCAGCGGCGCCGCGUGGGGGAUGACGGCCUUCGGGUUGUAAGCUCCUUUCGUUAGGGACGAAGUCGCCCUUUUAUGGGGUGUGGUGACCGUACCUUUGUUAAGAAGCACCGGCUAACUACGUG